AUUGAACGCUGGCGGCAGGCUUAACACAUGCAAGUCGAACGGUAACAUAAAGAAGCUUGCUUCUUUGAUGACGAGUGGCGGACGGGUGAGUAAUGCUUGGGAAUCUAGCUUAUGGAGGGGGAUAACUACGGGAAACUGUAGCUAAUACCGCGUAGUAUCGGAAGAUGAAAGUGUGGGACCUUCGGGCCACAUGCCAUAGGAUGAGCCCAAGUGGGAUUAGGUAGUUGGUGAAGUAAAGGCUCACCAAGCCGACGAUCUCUAGCUGGUCUGAGAGGAUGACCAGCCACACUGGGACUGAGACACGGCCCAGACUCCUACGGGAGGCAGCAGUGGGGAAUAUUGCGCAAUGGGGGCAACCCUGACGCAGCCCUGCCGCGUGAAUGAAGAAGGCCUUUCGGGUUGUAAAGU
This 408-nucleotide ribosomal RNA is filed under the name Terrahaemophilus sp. oral taxon G25. RNAcentral's name for it is "bacterial SSU rRNA". It matches the Rfam family "Bacterial small subunit ribosomal RNA", at positions 30 to 431 of the family's 1533-position model. The record is from RNAcentral. Lineage: Bacteria; Pseudomonadati; Pseudomonadota; Gammaproteobacteria; Pasteurellales; Pasteurellaceae.